RNAcentral lists this ribosomal RNA (328 nucleotides) under uncultured eukaryote. Its description in RNAcentral is "partial 18S ribosomal RNA". It matches the Rfam family "Eukaryotic small subunit ribosomal RNA", at positions 1470 to 1796 of the family's 1831-position model. The record is from RNAcentral.
CCCUUAGAUGUCCGGGGCUGCACGCGCGCUACACUGAAGGAAUCAGCGUGCUAAAACCAUUGUCGAAAGGCAUUGGUAAACCCAUUAAAAUCCUACGUGAUUGGGAUCGGGAAUUGCAAUUAUUUCCCUUGAACGAGGAAUUCCCAGUAAGUGUGGGUCAUAAGCUCGCGUUGAUUACGUCCCUGCCCUUUGUACACACCGCCCGUCGCUGCCCGGGACUGAGCCGUUUCGAGAAAAGCGGGGACUGCUGCUGUCGGGGCUUUCGGGUCUUGGCUUCGGUGGAAACCGCUUUAAUCGCAGUGGCUUGAACCGGGCAAAAGUCGUAACA